AAGCCUGAUGCAGCGACGCCGCGUGAGGGAUGACGGCCUUCGGGUUGUAAACUCUUUCAGCAGGGCGAAGCGUAAGUGACGGUACCUGCAGAAGAAGCGCCGGCCAACUACGUGCCAGCAGCCGCGGUAAGACGUAGGGCGCGAGCGUUGUCCGGAUUUAUUGGGCGUAAAGAGCUCGUAGGCGGCUUGUCGCGUCGGCUGUGAAAACCCGUGGCUCAACUGCGGGCUUGCAGCCGAUACGGGCAGGCUAGAGUUCGGUAGGGGAGACUGGAAUUCCUGGUGUAGCGGUGAAAUGCGCAGAUAUCAGGAGGAACACCGGUGGCGAAGGCGGGUCUCUGGGCCGAUACUGACGCUGAGGAGCGAAAGCGUGGGGAGCGAACAGGAUUAGAUACCCUGGUAGUCCACGCUGUAAACGUUGGGCGCUAGGUGUGGGGGCCUCUCCGGUUCUCUGUGCCGUAGCUAACGCAUUAAGCGCCCCGCCUGGGGAGUACGGCCGCAAGGCUA
Molecule: ribosomal RNA, 504 nt
Filed under: uncultured Actinomycetes bacterium
Lineage: Bacteria; Bacillati; Actinomycetota; Actinomycetes
Description: bacterial SSU rRNA
Rfam family: Bacterial small subunit ribosomal RNA
Source: RNAcentral